CAGCAACAUUUUGCAUACAGAAGAAUGGAAAUACAGUCAAACCAUUAUGCAUCUUAAGAUCCCAGAGGGACAUAAUUUGUCACUGAUGUCCAGCUGAUGAUGGGGAUUCUGAGAUGUUGAACACAACCUUCUGGAUUUGAGCAUCCAACAAAUUCUUCAUCCACCUAACAGUGCCUCUAACAAAUCCAUCUCUCUCCAAUUUAGAGAAGGAUGUUGUGGAUGCCCUGAUGUGUCAAAGCCCUGAUAGAAGGUUAAAGACUGGAGAAGGACUGUACCUGUGCUGUAAGGUCUUCCAUUGGACAUAGAGUGCACAAUUUAUUUGGAUUUCAGCUUCCCUUACAUUCAGUUCAUACAAGGCUUGCUCUCAGACCAGCUGCAUAAUGGUAAGAGGUCACAGCACCUCACAGAGUACUACUACCCUUUGCUGUCCACUUUCAAGGGCUACACAUAGGUCCACUAAAGCACAUGCCCUUUCUUCACCUGACAUUUAUAGACAAGAAUUAAGCCUGUCAAUGGAUGAAACCUGUAUAAAAAAGAAAACUGUGUGAGGAUUUCUUUUCCCCCAUUAUAUAUAUAUUCACUGUGACCUAAACCACUGGCUGUAAACCAGCAAGCUUUAAAGGCAGAUAGGCUCUUUAUUUAGUCAGACCACACCUCAUUUUCAUUUAAGGUGACUGAUAUUGACCUGAUCCCAGAUCACCCUCCUGACAGAGGUCUUACUGCAAGGUAGCAGCCCCUGCCCAUUUUUGCUGUGGAAUGCAUGCUUUUUCCCCAUGAAUUAGGUGCAGUGCAGACUGGCUUCUAGAAAGGUGCAGGACAAGUAAAGCUGCAUGGCCACCUCAAAACUUACCAGAAAGGCUAAUGACUAGUACAAAGACACACAGUUGCAUUCUCAAGAUGUACAUUUUGGCAGCUUCACCAGAUAAACUUGUUUUCAAAUCUUUGUGUCAAAUCCACCUCAUCUCUUAUUCUUGCAUGAAAUGGAUGCAAUUAUCCUUUCUUAAUGAAAACUGCUGUGUAUCAGGCUAAACAAUGGGGAGCCAAAUGGACCUGCUGAAUCUGAAUUACUCCUGAUGCAUGGCUGAGGCCCCUCAGCAGCCUGCAAUGUCCACAUGGCUGCGCAUGGACAGAUGAGCUUCCUCCCCUGGCUUGCUUUCUCCCAUUUUUCAUGGGAGAUGGGUUUGAGGUCACGAACCCACUCCCACAAACCACUGAGUAAGUUGCAAAGUCACAUUGCAUCAACCAGCUCUGAAUGGGCUGCAGUUUCUCCCAGUCCAUUCAAGGAAACUUCACAUGGGUGUCUGUCUGUCUCUGCUCUCCCUUCACCUCCACAGGCUGGAGAUGCAGACAGAGCCCUCCCUUAGAUAAAGUACAGCUGCUUUGCUGCAGCAGUGUAACUUUGUGGGACCAGGGCAGAAUCAAGAAAAACCCAGGAACUGCAGCAAACAAGAAAUUGAAGCAGAACUCAGAAUUCUGCUCUAUCACUAUGACUUAAAAGACUGUUAUUUUUUAAUUUACUAAUGUAGCCUUUGAGCAGAGGACACAGUAAUGCCAUCUUAACACCACCUUUAAUAGACACAGCCCUUAUUGCACUUACUUCUUUUUAUUGCACAGAUAAUGCAGGGACACAAGCAGAAUAUGGCAGAAAAAGAAGCUGCUAUGUUGCUAGGAAACUAAUUCAGAAAACAUUGACAAUACUUACAGGGUAAGGUUGAACAACAGUGAGGAGGAUCGAUUCUUUGCAGCUUCUAUAAAAAGAAAAAACAAAGCAAAAUCAAGUAAAGAGUCAUUCUUUUAUUCACUAUUGAUAACCUGCUUUUCUUUUUAAUGAAGAAAACUGCAUUAAUAUGGAAGAAUGUUCAUUACAAUGACAUAGCAGAGUAGUACAGAGAUUAAUAAUAUGCCAAAAUAACGACACAUAUUAUGGAAUAAGUUUUUUUUGCAAUCUAAUAAAUUGAAUUGGCCUAACAGUGCGGUUUAUGCUACAAAAUUUUUGCUUCAUCAGAGAAACCUGCAUGCUGCAACAAUGGUUGUCUCUAGCAAGAAUGAAGUAACCUUUGAUUAAUUGCAUUGGUUCAGUAUCUGUAGUCCAUUAAUUUCUUUUACCUACUUUACAAAUGCAAGUCACUUUUAUACCACCUAGCUCUUGUAGACUUCAAGCCAAAUCUUUUUGAAACAGCAGCAUUCUUUUUUAAAACAAAAAUGAGGACAAAAUUUAACCUCCAAUCCUUCUCUAGCUCACCUUUUUAAAUGGGUGGAAAAAGACUAAUGUUUGGUGAAUACUCCCAUUAGAAUUUUAAGUUUUUACAGAAUUGCUAAGGAAAGGUUUUUCUUUCAAUUUAAACAGCUCUUCUUUAUGAUGAAAAACAUAGUAAAUGCAAAACAUAUGAAAAUCUCUAAAAAUCCACAACUGAUUUACAGGAUAAACAGAAGAAAAUAUUACAAAUCUUGAUGUGACCAAGUGGCCUAGACAAAUAAUACAUAUAUUUUAAUUAUUGGUGAGUAGAUGGGGGUGGUGGGUAACUGUGGAAAAGUAAAGUGGAAGGAAGGAAGAAAAGACAAUCACAGUCUAUAGCUCUUGUAUUAUCUUUUGAUCAGAUGGUUGCAGUGGGUGAUAUUAGUUAAGAAAAGGUCAGCUGUCAUUUUGUUGAGACAGAAUUAAAUUUCUAUUGGUUUUACUACUUUAAAACAUAAAUUGUUUAUUUAUCUGAGUUACCACCUGGCUAAAUUGACAUGGAACUGAUUUUGCAUGCCUGACCCCUUGAGCAGAACUAACUAAAAAAAAAAAUCAUACUGUAUUGGUUGCAUAUAGGGUCACCUUAUAGGAAAAAUGACAACACUGAUAUGCAACUUAAGAAGCCAAAAGGCAAAAAAAAUGGAGGAGAGAAUGAAGGCCUAGUCAGAAAACUAUUCUGUAAAGUCAGUCUAUACUUGAUGAAGCAAACACAUUAUUAAAUGCCAACAGGGAUAACAAACUCUACUUUUGCCAGAGCCAUCAGUCAUGUAAGGAGCAAAGUCUAAUCUAAUACCAUGUAACUAAAAAAAAAAUUGCUAGAGCUUCAAUUUUUUACUUCUUUUAUUAGAUAUUUGCAUUAUUACCACAUUUUUUGGGAAUCUACAAAUGCAUGUUAAGAAAGGUAAUUUAUUUCAAGAACCUCAUAAUCUCUGUGCUAUCCACAUCUAUCCAAUUAUGAUUGCUAUAUUGACCUAGGCAGGUUAGUAGACAGAAAGGCUCACAGUUGUUAGUUUGGGAUAAACUGCAGCACUGGGAUAACUGCACCAUGACCAAGUGAUCCUUUCAAUUUCUUUGAACUCACUACUUUAUGUUUCUCAUGCUGUGUAUGAUUACCGCCACCACCUCUGCCUCCUGCAGUCCAGCUAUGCUAGAGAGUUGUCUUUAAAAAUAAAAUCAGCUUCUCCUGAAAAUGCUUUUCAGCUAUUCAUUAUUCUUGGAUUAAACCUGUCCAGGUGUCAGGCUAGGCAAGAUUCAUGCUAGAUUAGAAAGUGUUUUGUUUUUUUUUGACUAAAAGAUCAAAAGGUAUAUCUGGUGGAAAAGACUUUCUUGUAGGAUAAACACUUGCAUUGGAAGGAUGCUAGA
This is a long non-coding RNA of Melospiza melodia melodia, 3598 nucleotides long. RefSeq lists it as uncharacterized. Lineage: Eukaryota; Metazoa; Chordata; Aves; Passeriformes; Passerellidae. The transcript is spliced from 3 exons. The record is from RefSeq and is a predicted model, not a curated record.